This 433-nucleotide ribosomal RNA is filed under the name uncultured bacterium. RNAcentral describes it as "partial 16S ribosomal RNA". It matches the Rfam family "Bacterial small subunit ribosomal RNA", at positions 29 to 507 of the family's 1533-position model. The record is from RNAcentral.
AACGAACGCUGGCGGCAUGCCUAACACAUGCAAGUCGAACGAGACCUUCGGGUCUAGUUGCGCACGUGUGCGUAACGCGGGGGAACCUGCCCUUAGGUUCGGAAUAACUCCCCGAAAGGUGUGCUAAUACCGGAUAAUGUCUUCGGACCAAAGAUUUAUCGCCUUUGGAUGGGCCCGCGUUGGAUUAGCUAGUUGGUAGGGUAAAAGCCUACCAAGGCGACGAUCCAUAGCUGGUCUGAGAGGAUGAUAAGCCACACUGGGACUGAGACACGGCCCAGACUCGUACGGGAGGGAGCAGUGGGGAAUAUUGGACGCUGAGCGCAAGCCUGAUCCAGCCAUGCCGCGUGAGUGAUGAAGGCCUUAGGGUUGUAAAGCUCUUUUACCCGGGAUGAUAGUGACAGUACCGGGAGAAUAAGCUCCGGCUAACUCCGUG